GGGGCUCGGGCUCAGGGGCAGAGCGCUCGCUGGCACGUGCGAGGCCCUGGGUUCGAUCCCCAGCCCCA
RNAcentral lists this transfer RNA (68 nucleotides) under Marmota monax (woodchuck). RNAcentral's name for it is "tRNA.Undet". Lineage: Eukaryota; Metazoa; Chordata; Mammalia; Rodentia; Sciuridae. The record is from RNAcentral.